This 253-nucleotide ribosomal RNA is filed under the name uncultured bacterium. RNAcentral's name for it is "partial 16S ribosomal RNA". It matches the Rfam family "Bacterial small subunit ribosomal RNA", at positions 524 to 776 of the family's 1533-position model. The record is from RNAcentral.
UACGGAGGGUGCAAGCGUUAUUCGGAAUUACUGGGCGUAAAGGGCGCGUAGGCGGCUUUUUAAGUCAGGCGUUAAAUACCGGGGCUAAACUCCGGAAGUGCGUUUGAAACUAAAAAGCUUGAGUACGGGAGAGGGAAGUGGAAUUCCUGGUGUAGAGGUGAAAUUCGUAGAUAUCAGGAGGAACACCGGUGGCGAAAGCGACUUCCUGGACCGAUACUGACGCUGAGGCGCGCAAGCGUGGGUAGCAAACAGG